GACGAACGCUGGCGGCGUGCCUAAUACAUGCCAGUUGAGCGCUGAAGGUUGGUACUUGUACCAACUGGAUGAGCAGCGAACGGGUGAGUAACGCGUGGGGAAUCUGCCUUUGAGCGGGGGACAACAUUUGGAAACGAAUGCUAAUACCGCAUAAAAACUUUAAACACAAGUUUUAAGUUUGAAAGAUGCAAUUGCAUCACUCAAAGAUGAUCCCGCGUUGUAUUAGCUAGUUGGUGAGGUAAAGGCUCACCAAGGCGAUGAUACAUAACCGACCUGAGAGGGUGAUCGGCCCAAUUGGGACUGGGACACGGCCCAAACUCCUACGGGAGGCAGCAGUAGGGAAUCUUCGGCAAUGGACGAAAGUCUGACCGAGCAACGCCGCGUGAGUGAAGAAGGGUUUCGGAUCGUAAAACUCUGUUGGUAGAGAAGAACGUUGGUGAGAGUGGAAAGCUCAUCAAGUGACGGUAACUACCCAGAAAGGGACGGCUAACUACGUG
This 497-nucleotide ribosomal RNA is filed under the name uncultured bacterium. Its description in RNAcentral is "partial 16S ribosomal RNA". It matches the Rfam family "Bacterial small subunit ribosomal RNA", at positions 28 to 507 of the family's 1533-position model. The record is from RNAcentral.